Molecule: long non-coding RNA, 5383 nt
Organism: Panicum hallii
Lineage: Eukaryota; Viridiplantae; Streptophyta; Magnoliopsida; Poales; Poaceae
Exons: 5
Source: RefSeq, a predicted model, not a curated record
CGCGGGCCCCCGCGCGGCUCUGCCUCUACCCCCGCCGCCGCCGCCGGCUCGCGCCCGCGCAGCCCCCGCGGCCGCCGCCGCCGCCCCGCGCCCCUCUGCCCCGCGGGCCCCGCGCGGCUCUGCCUCUGCCCCGCGGCGCACCCGCUCUUCACCGGCCGCCCGGGGAUAGAUCUCCAAUCACGAGGCAUCGCCAUCGCCACCCAGACUCUUUUGAGGACAGCAGAGAUUUUCCUUUGAUCCCAUAUCCACCAAGAUUGAACAAUAGAGUAUUAGAGGUACAAUUUAUCUCUUAUAUUAUUGGAGGUAUAAAAAUUCUUCCUGCUAGUUUACUCCAUAAAAGAAGCUCUUUCUUCUUGAUUCUAUGCAACAUGCAUUUUUGAACUAUGCAUAUAUGAUAGUCUAAGAUCUGCUAAGUUUUAUUAGUAGCUUGUGCUAAUUAAUUAGUUGACUUUGCACAUAUGUAGUGUCCGUGUCACUAUCAUGGAACAUGAUUUUCCAUAUACACCUAUGUUUUACAUUUUCUCAGGUGCAUUCCCUCCAUUUAUGUAAGUACUUUUUCACUGUCAAUUGAGACACUGCUCUUACAGAAUAUUAUUACUUGAAAUAUAUCGUGCUGUUUAACUACAUGAAUAGGUUGGUAUAAAUUGCAUUGUUACAUUGUAAACCUAUUGUUCAAAUAUGGUUGUCAUGUCUAUGUUUUGACCUAAAUUUGCUAAUUUCUAAGUACUGGUCUGAGGGAACAUGUCAGCAGAGUCGUCUUCAUCAUGACAGGUUGAACUGGUCUCCAAAUUGCUUACCACGUGGAUCUGUAAAUGAUACAGAAGGCAGCUUUGCCUUUCAACUUGUGUACUGGAAUUUUAAAAAAAUACUGUAAUUUUUUCAGAUAUUCAGUUAUACUUCUCUAAACCUUACUUAAACUAUUGAGUACAAGCAUGGUUUUGUUUUCAAAUGAUACAGAAAGGAUGCAGUGAAGCUAUUGAGACCUUUGCUGAAGUAUUCUUGUCUUAAGAAUCAUGAAACAGACACAUUAGUGAUACCAUGCCAUGUUUGAUCAUUUGUUCAUUUUGACAUGUUAGCGAAAGGAAAAUAUUUUUCAUCCUAGAUUUGGUGCAAUGGUAAUUCUAAAUGUGCCUUUUCAUUUUAAAUGACUUUUAUGCAGUAUUCCAGAUUGUGGUCUAUGGCUCUACUCAAGCCACAUUUCCUUUUCACCUUUUGGGAGUGCUGUCUGCUGUUGACUCAAAUUCUACAUGCCUUCUUUGAAAUCUAUAUGCAGAAUUUUAGCAAUUUUUUUUGGAAAAUUGACUUCAGGAAUAUAUGAGGCGUUGGAGUUGAGGGAUGGAGGAUCUGACUAUCUUGGCAAGGGUGUUCUUAAGGCUGUGAACAAUGUAAAUAACAUCAUUGGACCGGCAAUUAUUGGAAAGGACCUCCGUUGAGCAGGUUGACAUUGACAACUUCAUGGUCCAGCAGCUUGAUGGAACCUCCAACGAAUGGGGCUGGUGUAAACAAAAGCUUGGAGCAAAUGCUAUUCUCGCGGUGUCACUGGCAGUGUGCAAAGCUGGAGCUAUGGUGAAAAAGAUUCCUCUUUUUUUAGCAGGGAUCUGAUUAUUUUCGUCGGCCAUUAAAGCCGACGAAAAUACUUGACGUAUUUUUGUCGGCCACUUAGGCCGACGAAAAUGUGAACAUAUUUUCGUCGGCCGUGUCGGCCGACGAAAAUAUUGUUAUUUUCGUCGGCAACCGAUGAAAAAGCGCUUAUUUUCAUCUAUUUUAUUUCGUCGGCCUAAUUUCGUCGGCCGACCGACGAAAGUAGCUAUCUUCGUCGGCUUUGGGCCUAUUUUCGUCGGUUUCUGGCCGAUGAAAUUAAACUAUUUUCCUGUAGUGCUAGUACCAGUUGUGACGGUCCUAACUGCACCAGUGGCGCACCGGCGAGCUUCAGAUGGAGUUGCGACGCUAGUGGUGGCGACGGCUUGGAGGAAGGAAGAAGGGGAACAGUAGAGUUUGGGAUUUUCUGUUCAUUUACUCAAUGCCUUUGACUCUCGACGGUCGGUCCUUUUACCUGCCACACAUGCCGCCGCGGUAGCAAGGUUCAUGGGCUCCGCCGAGUUCGAUACACGGCCUUGCGCCCAAGCAAUAAUAGUAGACAAUGGCCUCAGACCCAUAUAGUGGUCAGGACACCCUCAUCAUUGGGUCGGGUGGGUCAUCAUAGAGAGACGAUUGAUAAAGAAGAGAUCAUCGGGUGGGUCAUCAUAGAGAGACAAUUGAUAAAGAAGAGAUCAGAAGAGUCCUAUCAAGUCCCUAUCAAGUCCAAGGAACUGUAGUGGGGUGGAGGCGGGUCGUUCUGGCGCGGGGGCGCCCACUUGCUUAGGUGCCCCAACACAUCCUUGACCAGCGCCCUGACGUGGCCUGGCGAGAACAUCAUCAGUGGCGCUGCUGCAGAAGACCGCAGACCCUGUACGUCCAUAGAAGCAAGGCCACCACCAGCGCAAGACGUGUGUACCGCCUCCGGGACGUCGUUCUCCUGGCCCACGUCAACUCCGCCGAAGGCCCUCGCUGCUCGUGUCCCCGUGGACUCCCCUGCACAGACAGAUUAAAGAAUUGAUGUAAUGAUUAGUUGCAUGCCCUGGCUCGUUUAAUUAAUUAAUGUUGCAUUAUAUAUUUUUGACCCAAACUAAUUACUAAGCAAGCAAAGCUGCAGAGCAAUAUACCUGUCGCCGGCGUCCUGCUAAAGGACACCAGCCAAGACCCGAGCCAUAAUGACAUCAAUACUGCUAUGCCGCCACCCGGCAAGCCUAAAGACAUGGCGAUGGCCAGUCUCCAACCAUGCAGGCCUCGUCGUCGAGCGGUCCGCGACGGCGGCGGCGACUGGCGGGGCGGAGGGGCGGAGGGGGAGGCGGUGGGGACCAUGCCAGCACAUGGGUGCAACUGUUCGGAUCCUUGGGAACGGCCUCCUGGCGGCCCCCGCAUAUCCCGCAUAUCCUGUAGAAGUGCCAGACCAUAUCCAUGCCAAUGUUGGAUUGGGUGAAUUCGAAAUCUUCGGCGACGCUGCAAAGGGACCCGCGGUCCGCGCUGUCCACGGUCUCCAGCACAUCCACGCAGCAGCCUGGAGAACAGAGGACGGGCAUUGUUCCACAACCGUGGAGGCGAGGGCAGAACUUUUGUAGGCUCCUCCAUGCCCAUAAUACCGGAGUGACUUGCCUCCUCUUGGUGGCUGCCGCUUUGGCUUGCUGGCAGCAGCAAAGUCAGACACGUGCCGGCGGCGGCAGCAGCAGUAGCGUGUGGCGAGGCGCGGCAGGAGGCGGCGGGGCGAUGAUGGGGACGGCGGCAGAGGGUGACGGACCUGCACGCAAAGAGACACGAGAGGUUAACGGUGUUAGUCCAUAAUAAUUCACAGAUUCAAACGGCAGUGGAUAUACUAUAGUAUGUUGCAAGGGUAGUAUUGUCUUUUAGGCAGAAAAAGCAUGCACCGAGGCGCCAUUACGUGAGCGCCAGGAAAUAAAACGGGCAAAGAGAAACCAAACGGCAUGGUCUUUGCGGGCGGGAAUCCUGAAAAGCUGCAGGCUGUGCAGCUGUCUGCUACAAAGGAUCAGAUCAGAGGGCGGUUACAAGGUAGAAACACUACUAACCUUUUUUGCGCAGCAGGAGCAAGAGGCUAAAGGGAAGGGGUGAAAAGCAAAAAGAAGAGCAGCAUUUCUGACCUCGCUCGCUUUGAGCAGCUGUGCAGAUUCCAAUGAUGAUCAGAACACAUAAGAAACGAGUCAAAUCAACAUCAAGCGAUUCAUGAUGAUUAUAUUGAGCAAAAAGAGACGGUGAAAACGUCAUAAACGCAAAAAUGGAAACAGUGAAAAUAGAAAAAGCAAAAAGAAACGUAGGAAAUUCUAGCCUCACGAUUAUAUUGAGCUGUUGAACAGAUUCCAGUGAACAAAUUAUUAAAACAUUAUAAACCGGCGCGGGGGGGGGGGGGGGGGGUUUCAAAUAAUUAGGCACUUUAUGGCUGAAAGCCCACGUACAGAUUGGAACCAGCACCUCCAAAAUUAACGCUUCCAAACCAAAACGAUCGAAAAGCUACAGCGAAAUCAGGAGACGUGCGCAUACGGAGCCCGUACAUUCAUCUCACCCAACUAGCUAGUACUAGUCGCGCUUCUGUCAUGUGAACCCAUCCGAUGGAGAGAAAUUAGAGGCAACGAAUAAAAAAUGUUCCGAAAGAGGCCGGACGUACGGGUUCGUCGCCACAGUGGAAGACGGGAACUCGCAUCGAAACACCAUCGCAACAACGAACAGCUCAAGAGGCAAAUCACAAAGCAGCACAACAUGUACAGCUAUGUCGCCAUCCCCUGCCGACAAGCACACCAAUCUCGCGUAAGGCAUAGACGCAGAUCUAGAGAGAGAGGAAAGAAGCGGGCGGGCGCAGACAUCACGUACCAUGGCAGGCGGCGGCGAGGUGGGCGCCCCCGAUGCGCAGCAGGCGCCCGCACGGCGUGUAGAGAUGGGUGUGCUUGAUGGUGACGGUGGAAUAGGAUGUUGACAUGGAGGUUUAAUUGGAUUGGAUCUAAAUGUAGGCUCUGAAACCAUGAAAGAUUAUCAGAGUGCUUGAAGCGUGCGCUUUGUGGCGGUCCAUGGGUGGCGCUCGGGGUAGGAUCUCUCGCUCGCUAGUGCUCGAGGGCGGAGGGCGCAGCUCAGCCUGUGUGGCACUAUGGGUAGGGAGGAAGGCUCUAGAUGGAGAAGGUUGGUGCCACUGGGGAAGAAGGGGCGCGCAGGUUUUGUUUUCUAGCGGUGGGUGCUAGCGGUGGUGUGCGUGCGUUGUUGCGAUGUUGCGUGGCGAGGGCGUGCAUUGUGGGCUGGUAGUCGUGUGAGGGGAGUUCACGGAUAGGCCAAGACACUUCUCGAGAUUAACGGCCUGAGUCGAGAUGGUUCGCCUCAUUUUCUGUAGUGCUAGUACCAGUUGUGACGGUCCUGUGCUAGUACCAGUUGUGACGGUCCUAACUGCACCGGUGGCGCACCGGCGAGCUUCAGAUGGAGUUGCGACGCUAGUGGUGGCGACGACUUGGAGGAAGGAAGAAGGGGAACAGUAGAGUUUGGGAUUUUCUGUUCAUUUACUCAAUGCCUUCGACUCUCGACGGUCGGUCCUUUUACCUGCCACACAUGCCGCCGCGGUAGCAAGGUUUAUGGGCUCCGCCGAGUUCGAUACACGCCUUGGGCCCAAGCAAUAAUAGUAGACAAUGGCCUCAGACCCAUAUAGUGGUCAGGACACCCUCAUCAUUGGGUCGGGUGGGUCAUCAUAGAGAGAUGAUUGAUAAAGAAGAGAUCAUCGGAUGGGUCAUCAUAGAGAUACGAUCGAUAAAGAAGAGAUCAUCGGGUGGGUCAUCAUAGAGAGACAAUUGAUAAAGAA